CAGCCGCCACGGGAACACGUAGGGUGCAAGCGUUAAUCGGAAUUACUGGGCGUAAAGCGUGCGCAGGCGGUUUGUUAAGACAGAUGUGAAAUCCCCGGGCUCAACCUGGGAACUGCAUUUGUGACUGGCAAGCUAGAGUGUGGCAGAGGGGGGUGGAAUUCCGCGUGUAGCAGUGAAAUGCGUAGAUAUGCGGAGGAACACCGAUGGCGAAGGCAGCCCCCUGGGCCAACACUGACGCUCAUGCACGAAAGCGUGGGGAGCAAACAGGAUUAGAUACCCCAGUAGUCCCUGUCUCUUAUAC
RNAcentral lists this ribosomal RNA (301 nucleotides) under uncultured bacterium. RNAcentral's name for it is "partial 16S ribosomal RNA". It matches the Rfam family "Bacterial small subunit ribosomal RNA", at positions 509 to 807 of the family's 1533-position model. The record is from RNAcentral.